Molecule: non-coding RNA, 181 nt
Organism: Oryza meridionalis
Lineage: Eukaryota; Viridiplantae; Streptophyta; Magnoliopsida; Poales; Poaceae
Source: Rfam
ACCCUAUGUCCCCAUGAGUUUUUAUGUCCAACUUUGAUUAUCCGUUUUAUUUGAAUUUUUUAUAUGAUUAGAUGAUAAAACGUGGAUAUUACUUUAUGCGUAAUUUAUGUUUUUUUAAUCUUUUAAAAAAAUUAAGACAAACGAUUAAAAUUGGAUACGGAAACUCAUGGCUACGCUUAAA